Molecule: RNase P RNA, 352 nt
Filed under: Candidatus Endomicrobiellum basalitermitum
Lineage: Bacteria; Pseudomonadati; Elusimicrobiota; Endomicrobiia; Endomicrobiales; Endomicrobiaceae
Description: RNase P RNA component class A
Rfam family: Bacterial RNase P class A
About the family: Ribonuclease P (RNase P) is a ubiquitous endoribonuclease, found in archaea, bacteria and eukarya as well as chloroplasts and mitochondria. Its best characterised activity is the generation of mature 5'-ends of tRNAs by cleaving the 5'-leader elements of precursor-tRNAs.
Source: RNAcentral
AGAGACGGAUAUGCAAUCGCUUUACACUUAAUUUUAUUGUAAAGAGGAAAGUCCGAACUUUAGCUGCAGAAAAUGAUAUUGCAGAAAAUGGUAGUAGGUAAUCCCUAUCGCUCUCAAGAGUAGAGGUGCGAACAGAGACGUUUUUUUUGGAAACAAAAAAAAUAUCCUAAUAACAUACAAAAGGAUAAGUUUUUGCAGCAAUGCAAAAAGUGAAACGGCUAAAGCCUUACUAUAAAGCAAGACUGAAUUAUAGUCGCUUGACCGCUAAAAGUGAUUUUAACGGCAGAGAAAUGAUUGCACUUUUAAUCCUCAUUUUAAAAGACAAAAUUCGGUGUACAAUCCGUCUCUAGAA